UCUGUGUCCACUCCUGUGUCCUCCUUCAUAGGACUUUGCAACCUGUUUCCAAAAGUUUUGGAGAGAGAAAGGCCAUUUCUACUAAGUGUUCCCUGAAUGUGGUUUCUAUGGAAUGUAUGAUAAGAUCCUGCUUUUUCGCCACGACCCUACCUCUGAAAACAUCCUUCAGCUGGUGAAAACGGCUAGUGAUAUCCAGGAAGGAGAUCUUAUUGAAGUGGUCUUGUCAGAAGAGACUGGAGGAGGAAAGAAAGAAAAGACAAAACUGAAGAUACCGUCAAAAUCAAUGAAAUAAGUCAUCAUGGCUGCCCGUGUUUGCAAUGGCAAGAUGAAGACUGGGUAGUGACUGUUGAUCUAAACACAUCAUGGGAAUGAAUUCCUUUUGCUUGAGGUGAAGGAACUUGCUUUACUUGGAAAGAUGCCAAAUGUCCAUGAUUGGUGUCACAUAACACUCCAGUUCAGUGUCUCAGCCGUGCCACCAUCUGCCCAGUGCUCUCAUUCUGCUGGUUGGCAUGUUGUUUACUUGCUUUUAAUAUGCAACCCAUAUAAAAAUUUCUCAUCAGCUGCUGAAAUUAGAAAUGCAGUUGUUUUAAGGCUUAAACAUCAAUAGCACUAUUUAUUAUGCCCACAUGGAGGAAUAAAAUAGAAAGAUGUAUUUGAAAAGAGCAAAUACUAUACCAGAAUGUAUUUGUACCUACACUUUUUAAAGUACAUUAAUGACAGUGAUAGUCUGUUAUCAAA
Molecule: non-coding RNA, 738 nt
Organism: Castor canadensis (American beaver)
Lineage: Eukaryota; Metazoa; Chordata; Mammalia; Rodentia; Castoridae
Source: RefSeq, a predicted model, not a curated record